CACCUCUGGUUCCCUUUCUGGGGGGAUCUGAACACCUGUCCCGGUGGUCGUAAAAGGAGGACUAGUUAUACUGAAGCUGUCCUCACGAGGCUUGUAGUCUGCUUUAUAGCAUGCGGGCUAGUUUCAAACAAGG
RNAcentral lists this small nucleolar RNA (133 nucleotides) under Balaenoptera musculus (blue whale). Its description in RNAcentral is "Small nucleolar RNA SNORA61 (ENSBMSG00010005926.1)". It matches the Rfam family "Small nucleolar RNA SNORA61". From Rfam's summary of the family: ACA61 is a member of the H/ACA class of snoRNA that guide the sites of modification of uridines to pseudouridines. Lineage: Eukaryota; Metazoa; Chordata; Mammalia; Artiodactyla; Balaenopteridae. The record is from Rfam by way of RNAcentral.